RNAcentral lists this ribosomal RNA (542 nucleotides) under uncultured archaeon. Its description in RNAcentral is "bacterial SSU rRNA". It matches the Rfam family "Archaeal small subunit ribosomal RNA", at positions 457 to 997 of the family's 1478-position model. The record is from RNAcentral.
GUCAGCAGCCGCGGUAACACCGGCGGCCCGAGUGGUGAUCGUGAUUAUUGGGCCUAAAGGGUCCGUAGCCGGUUUGGUCAGUCCUCCGGGAAAUCUGAUAGCUCAACUAUUAGGCUUUCGGGGGAUACUGCCAGACUUGGAACCGGGAGAGGUAAGAGGUACUACAGGGGUAGGAGUGAAAUCUUGUAAUCCCUGUGGGACCACCUGUGGCGAAGGCGUCUUACCAGAACGGGUUCGACGGUGAGGGACGAAAGCUGGGGGCACGAACCGGAUUAGAUACCCGGGUAGUCCCAGCCGUAAACGAUGCUCGCUAGGUGUCAGGCAUGGCGCGACCGUGUCUGGUGCCGCAGGGAAGCCGUGAAGCGAGCCACCUGGGAAGUACGGCCGCAAGGCUGAAACUUAAAGGAAUUGGCGGGGGAGCACAACAACGGGUGGAAGCCUGCGGUUUAAUUGGACUCAACGCCGGACAACUCACCGGGGGCGACAGCAAUAUGUAGGCCAAGCUGAAGACUUUGCCUGAAUCGCUGAGAAGAGGUGCAUGG